UACAGAGGCCUCGAGCGUUGUUCGGAAUUACUGGGCGUAAAGGGAAUGUAGGUUGUGACGUAAGUCAGGUGUGAAAGCCCUGGGCUUAACCCAGGAAUUGCAUUUGAUACUGCGUUACUAGAGCAUGAGAGAGGAGAGGAGAAUUCCCAGUGUAGGAGUGAAAUCCGUAGAUAUUGGGAGGAAUACCGAUGGCGAAGGCACCUUUCUGGCUCAUGGCAGACACUGAGAUUCGAAAGCGUGGGGAGCAAACAGG
This 253-nucleotide ribosomal RNA is filed under the name uncultured bacterium. RNAcentral's name for it is "partial 16S ribosomal RNA". It matches the Rfam family "Bacterial small subunit ribosomal RNA", at positions 524 to 776 of the family's 1533-position model. The record is from RNAcentral.